CGAUGUAAAUACAUGUUUGCUUCCCAUGAGCUAAAACGUCACGUUCUCUACCUUUUAUAUCAGAUGGAAUCAGGCAACAUUUACUGCCAUAAUAUGUCAGAAAUACAAGGAAUCUCACUUGGUUGGUGCCAACAAGACAACAGUGCACGAGGAAUCAAAAAUAAUGCUGUGGGUCAGUAGUACAAGGCUAUGGGUUAGUAAUAUAAGGCUAUGGGUUAGUAGUAUAAUGCUAUGGAUUAGUAGUAUAAGGCUAUGGGUUAGUAGUAUAAGGCUAUGGGUUAGUAGUAUAAUGCUAUGGGUUAGUAAUACAAGGCUAUGGGUUAGUAAUAUAAGGCUGUGGGUUAGUAAUACAAGGCUAUGGGUUAGUAAUACAAGGCUAUGGGUUAGUAAUAUAAGGCUAUGGGUUAGUAAUAUAAGGCUAUGGGUUAGUAAUAUAAGGCUAUGGGUUAGUAAUAUAAGGCUAUGGGUUAGUAAUAUAAGGCUAUGGGUUAGUAGUAUAAUGCUAUGGAUUAGUAGUAUAAGGCUAUGGGUUAGUAGUAUAAGGCUAUGGGUUAGUAGUAUAAGGCUAUGGGUUAGUAAUACAAGGCUAUGGGUUAGUAAUAUAAGGCUAUGGGUUAGUAGUAUAAUGCUAUGGGUUAGUAGUACAAGGCCAUGGGUUAGUAAUACAAGGCUAUGGGUUAGUAAUAUAAGGCUAUGGGUUAGUAGUAUAAGGCUAUGGGUUAGUAAUAUAAGGCUAUGGGUUAGUAAUAUAAGGCUAUGGGUUAGUAGUAUAAUGCUAUGGAUUAGUAGUAUAAGGCUAUGG
This is a long non-coding RNA of Gasterosteus aculeatus aculeatus (three-spined stickleback), 802 nucleotides long. The record is from Ensembl. NCBI's taxonomy places the organism in Eukaryota, Metazoa, Chordata, Actinopteri, Perciformes, Gasterosteidae.